CGCGUAGGCGGUUUGUUAAGUCAGCUGUGAAAGCCCCGGGCUCAACCUGGGAACUGCAGUUGAUACUGGCCGACUAGAGUACGAGAGAGGGAGGUAGAAUUCCACGUGUAGCGGUGAAAUGCGUAGAUAUGUGGAGAAAUACCGGUGGCGAAGGCGGCCUCCUGGCUCGAUACUGACGCUGAGGUGCGAAAGCGUGGGGAGCAAACA
This 207-nucleotide ribosomal RNA is filed under the name uncultured bacterium. RNAcentral describes it as "partial 16S ribosomal RNA". It matches the Rfam family "Bacterial small subunit ribosomal RNA", at positions 568 to 774 of the family's 1533-position model. The record is from RNAcentral.